CCGAGGGCACGUCUGCCUGGG
This 21-nucleotide non-coding RNA is filed under the name Arabidopsis thaliana (thale cress). The record is from RNAcentral. Lineage: Eukaryota; Viridiplantae; Streptophyta; Magnoliopsida; Brassicales; Brassicaceae.